GGUUAAGCGACUAAGCGUACACGGUGGAUGCCCUGGCAGUCAGAGGCGAUGAAGGACGUGCUAAUCUGCGAUAAGCGUCGGUAAGGUGAUAUGAACCGUUAUAACCGGCGAUUUCCGAAUGGGGAAACCCAGUGUGUUUCGACACACUAUCAUUAACUGAAUCCAUAGGUUAAUGAGGCGAACCGGGGGAACUGAAACAUCUAAGUACCCCGAGGAAAAGAAAUCAACCGAGAUUCCCCCAGUAGCGGCGAGCGAACGGGGAGGAGCCCAGAGCCUGAAUCAGUGUGUGUGUUAGUGGAAGCGUCUGGAAAGGCGCGCGAUACAGGGUGACAGCCCCGUACACAAAAAUGCACAUGCUGUGAGCUCGAUGAGUAGGGCGGGACACGUGGUAUCCUGUCUGAAUAUGGGGGGACCAUCCUCCAAGGCUAAAUACUCCUGACUGACCGAUAGUGAACCAGUACCGUGAGGGAAAGGCGAAAAGAACCCCGGCGAGGGGAGUGAAAAAGAACCUGAAACCGUGUACGUACAAGCAGUGGGAGCACAGAGCAAUCUGUGUGACUGCGUACCUUUUGUAUAAUGGGUCAGCGACUUAUAUUCUGUAGCAAGGUUAACCGAAUAGGGGAGCCGAAGGGAAACCGAGUCUUAACCGGGCGUUAAGUUGCAGGGUAUAGACCCGAAACCCGGUGAUCUAGCCAUGGGCAGGUUGAAGGUUGGGUAACACUAACUGGAGGACCGAACCGACUAAUGUUGAAAAAUUAGCGGAUGACUUGUGGCUGGGGGUGAAAGGCCAAUCAAACCGGGAGAUAGCUGGUUCUCCCCGAAAGCUAUUUAGGUAGCGCCUCGUGAAUUCAUCUCCGGGGGUAGAGCACUGUUUCGGCAAGGGGGUCAUCCCGACUUACCAACCCGAUGCAAACUGCGAAUACCGGAGAAUGUUAUCACGGGAGACACACGGCGGGUGCUAACGUCCGUCGUGAAGAGGGAAACAACCCAGACCGCCAGCUAAGGUCCCAAAGUCAUGGUUAAGUGGGAAACGAUGUGGGAAGGCCCAGACAGCCAGGAUGUUGGCUUAGAAGCAGCCAUCAUUUAAAGAAAGCGUAAUAGCUCACUGGUCGAGUCGGCCUGCGCGGAAGAUGUAACGGGGCUAAACCAUGCACCGAAGCUGCGGCAGCGACACUGUGUGUUGUUGGGUAGGGGAGCGUUCUGUAAGCCUGUGAAGGUGUGCUGUGAGGCAUGCUGGAGGUAUCAGAAGUGCGAAUGCUGACAUAAGUAACGAUAAAGCGGGUGAAAAGCCCGCUCGCCGGAAGACCAAGGGUUCCUGUCCAACGUUAAUCGGGGCAGGGUGAGUCGACCCCUAAGGCGAGGCCGAAAGGCGUAGUCGAUGGGAAACAGGUUAAUAUUCCUGUACUUGGUGUUACUGCGAAGGGGGGACGGAGAAGGCUAUGUUGGCCGGGCGACGGUUGUCCCGGUUUAAGCGUGUAGGCUGGUUUUCCAGGCAAAUCCGGAAAAUCAAGGCUGAGGCGUGAUGACGAGGCACUACGGUGCUGAAGCAACAAAUGCCCUGCUUCCAGGAAAAGCCUCUAAGCAUCAGGUAACAUCAAAUCGUACCCCAAACCGACACAGGUGGUCAGGUAGAGAAUACCAAGGCGCUUGAGAGAACUCGGGUGAAGGAACUAGGCAAAAUGGUGCCGUAACUUCGGGAGAAGGCACGCUGAUAUGUAGGUGAAGUCCCUCGCGGAUGGAGCUGAAAUCAGUCGAAGAUACCAGCUGGCUGCAACUGUUUAUUAAAAACACAGCACUGUGCAAACACGAAAGUGGACGUAUACGGUGUGACGCCUGCCCGGUGCCGGAAGGUUAAUUGAUGGGGUCAGCGCAAGCGAAGCUCUUGAUCGAAGCCCCGGUAAACGGCGGCCGUAACUAUAACGGUCCUAAGGUAGCGAAAUUCCUUGUCGGGUAAGUUCCGACCUGCACGAAUGGCGUAAUGAUGGCCAGGCUGUCUCCACCCGAGACUCAGUGAAAUUGAACUCGCUGUGAAGAUGCAGUGUACCCGCGGCAAGACGGAAAGACCCCGUGAACCUUUACUAUAGCUUGACACUGAACAUUGAGCCUUGAUGUGUAGGAUAGGUGGGAGGCUUUGAAGUGUGGACGCCAGUCUGCAUGGAGCCGACCUUGAAAUACCACCCUUUAAUGUUUGAUAUUCUAACGUGGACCCGUGAUCCGGGUUGCGGACAGUGUCUGGUGGGUAGUUUGACUGGGGCGGUCUCCUCCUAAAGAGUAACGGAGGAGCACGAAGGUUGGCUAAUCCUGGUCGGACAUCAGGAGGUUAGUGCAAUGGCAUAAGCCAGCUUGACUGCGAGCGUGACGGCGCGAGCAGGUGCGAAAGCAGGUCAUAGUGAUCCGGUGGUUCUGAAUGGAAGGGCCAUCGCUCAACGGAUAAAAGGUACUCCGGGGAUAACAGGCUGAUACCGCCCAAGAGUUCAUAUCGACGGCGGUGUUUGGCACCUCGAUGUCGGCUCAUCACAUCCUGGGGCUGAAGUAGGUCCCAAGGGUAUGGCUGUUCGCCAUUUAAAGUGGUACGCGAGCUGGGUUUAGAACGUCGUGAGACAGUUCGGUCCCUAUCUGCCGUGGGCGCUGGAGAACUGAGGGGGGCUGCUCCUAGUACGAGAGGACCGGAGUGGACGCAUCACUGGUGUUCGGGUUGUCAUGCCAAUGGCACUGCCCGGUAGCUAAAUGCGGAAGAGAUAAGUGCUGAAAGCAUCUAAGCACGAAACUUGCCCCGAGAUGAGUUCUCCCUGACCCUUUAAGGGUCCUGAAGGAACGUUGAAGACGACGACGUUGAUAGGCCGGGUGUGUAAGCGCAGCGAUGCGUUGAGCUAACCGGUACUAAUGAACCGUGAGGCUUAACCUU
Molecule: ribosomal RNA, 2905 nt
Filed under: Escherichia coli
Lineage: Bacteria; Pseudomonadati; Pseudomonadota; Gammaproteobacteria; Enterobacterales; Enterobacteriaceae
Description: 23S ribosomal RNA
Rfam family: Bacterial large subunit ribosomal RNA
Source: RNAcentral